RNAcentral lists this ribosomal RNA (371 nucleotides) under uncultured bacterium. RNAcentral describes it as "bacterial SSU rRNA". It matches the Rfam family "Bacterial small subunit ribosomal RNA", at positions 527 to 896 of the family's 1533-position model. The record is from RNAcentral.
GUAGGGUGCGAGCGUUGCCCGGAUUUAUUGGGCGUAAAGGGCGCGUAGGCGGCCACGCACGUCCGUUGUGAAAUCSCCCGGCUCAACUGGGCGGGGUCAGCGGAUACGGCGCGGCUGGAGCAAGCUAGGGGGCAAUGGAAUUCCCGGUGUAGUGGUGGAAUGCGUAGAUAUCGGGAGGAACACCAGUGGCGAAGGCGGUUGCCUGGAGCUUUGCUGACGCUGAGGCGCGAAAGCGUGGGGAGCGAUCCGGAUUAGAUACCCGGGUAGUCCACGCCGUAAACGAUGCGGACUAGGUGUCGGGGGUAUCGACCCCCUCGGCGCCGCAGCUAACGCAUUAAGUCCGCCGCCUGGGGACUACGGCCGCAAGGCUA